Molecule: long non-coding RNA, 269 nt
Organism: Carassius gibelio (silver crucian carp)
Lineage: Eukaryota; Metazoa; Chordata; Actinopteri; Cypriniformes; Cyprinidae
Exons: 2
Source: RefSeq, a predicted model, not a curated record
GAAGCAGACAUGGACAGAUGAAGAUACUGCCUGCAGGAAAUUCUUAUUCUUGGGGGUUCCCCCAAGCCAGAUCGAGCCGCUUAGUAGGCCCCGUAUGCGAGGCUGGGGGUGCUCGAUUCUGACUCGGUGCUUACACUUUCAUCAUCAUCAUCACCAACCACAUCAACCUCUCCAUCUUCGUCUUGUCAAUAUUACAGGAUAUUUUAUGGUUAGAUGUUGACCAGAUGGAUUGAAUGUGUUUAAAAUAUAAACAGGCCUUCGUACUCUCA